This 6979-nucleotide long non-coding RNA is filed under the name Ananas comosus (pineapple). RNAcentral's name for it is "long non-coding RNA (ACOM_LNC042420)". The record is from RNAcentral. Lineage: Eukaryota; Viridiplantae; Streptophyta; Magnoliopsida; Poales; Bromeliaceae.
GGGUUGUGUUUACCGAAGUGACUAGGUCACCUUCAUGUCAAAGUAAAACAUGAGAUUCAUAUAGAUGCAUAUUAUUAUGUAUGCUAAUUGAUAGUGCAUGAUGAUGCAUUGAAGUGCAUGCUAGUUGAUAAUGAAAAAUUGAUAUGUUGAAGUAUGUGCUAGAUGAUAUUGCAUAUGAACACAUGAUGACAUGAUAUAGAGAACAUGAACAUACAAAUGAAUGUUAACGCUUUGUUAAUCAUGUGAGUUAUGAGAUCAUGUUGGAUAAUGCUUAGUGACAUAAUGAGAAAUUGUUAAUUAUACAUACACGUUAGCAUUAUGUAAAUGUAUGCUAGUUGGUAGAACACAUACUAGUGAUAAUUGCAUAAUAAUGCAUUGGAAAGUACAUGCUAGAAACUAGAUGCAAGCGAGAUAUAUAUGUGCAUUGGAAUGUAUGCUAGGUGCAUGUAGCAUUAUGUGAGCCGGUUGGAUAAAAUGCAUAAGUGCAUCAUGUGAAUACAUGUUAAAUGGUAUGGCAUAUUAACACUAUGAAAAAUAUAUGCUAGAGGAAAAUGUUUAGUGACGUACUAAGAAUAUGUAGCUAUAACUCGAUGUGGACAAUUAGGUGUCAACUAGAUCGAGUGGCAUUAACUUAGUGUAUUAAACAUAGGUCAAAUGUGAACCUAGGGUCGAGAACCUAGGAGGAGCAAGAAUGGCAUUUAACCUAGUGUCGUGAACCUAGGCUAGAUCGAGUGGCAUUAACCUAGUGUCAUGAACAUAGGUUGACAUUGAUCCUAGUGUUGUUGAACCUAGAGUUAAUAAAAAUCUAGGUAGAGAGGUAUUAACCUAGUUUAAAGAACAUAGGUUAUGUGAUGAGGGCGUUAAACCUAGAGUCGGGUAGACCUAGGAUAGAAAGUGCAUUGGACCUAGAUAGGUCGAUAUCAUAGGGUUUGAGAUUACCCUAGAGACUUGGAAAGUCGAUUCCGGAAUCUUAGGAUUGUGAACUCGAUAGUUCUAAAGCCGUGGGGGCAGUUGGCAAUGUUCUCCUCCCACUGGAUGAACUUCGAGAAUGAGCAUCAGGCUGAUUCGAGGCCGCGGGUCGAGUGCGGCAGGGUUCCCCCUCCCGUCGGCAGAAUCGUGCUUCGCUAGGGUUGAGUGUGGCAGGUCCCCUUCCCUAUCGGGGGUCUUGGGCCGCGGGUUGAGUAUGUGGCAUAAUCCCCUUCCCACCGGAAAGAUCCCUGACCACGGGUGUACGCAGCUCUGGGCGACCCGUUGGGCGAUGAGUGUAUGGAUUGGAGGCUGAGGUCCGAGUGAGGAUUCCUCCACCUCGAGCCGGACAGAGCGCGGACUAUCCGCAGUUGAUUGACUCGAGGCCGAGUCGGGUGGCUAGUGGUAAUGUGAUGGAUCUAAGGUAAUAGAAACCUAAGAGGUUAGUUGGAUCUGAGCGAGAUAGCAAGAUAGAAGUAGAAUCAAGUGAUUUACUUAUGAUAGUUGCAUAAUUGCAUUGUUGCAUAUAGCAUGGCAUUGUUGUAAUUCUGAGGCAAAGCAUGGUUUCAUUAAUUGCAUAAUCAAUAUAUAUAUAUAUCUAUCUGUUUAUUGAGCUAACCUGCAGUUGCCUCCUUUGAACCUGAUGGCCGAGCUUUUCCCUUGGGUGGCCGUACCCACUGGGAACCAUAGAGUUGGUUCUCACCUCUCGUUGUUUUGGGGUGUUUACAGGUUCGCACGUGAGCGGCGCGGCGGCGCGAGGAAAGGGCGUAGCUCCGUAGAUAUUGCCCUACCCCAGAGAUCGGAGCUAGAAGUACUCCGUCGACAUCGCUUAGGGGUUAAGAGAAUGAAAAGAACAUAAUGUAUCAAAUUUGUAAUAAGUAAAUGUUGUAAUAACUUAGAUUGCAUUUGGAUGAAUAGAACGGUGGUUGAGAUGUAAAAUGCAUGUGAAUGAAUGUAAUAACAUAAGAUGUGUUUAUGUUGUUUGAUACCUUCCUUAUGCAAUCUUGAUUGAAAUGUGUUCCUGUUUGAAACUUCGUACAUUGUAUUGAUUGUGAUGCCUUGAACGUACAGGGGAGACUCUAUCCGCAGUAUAGAAAAAACCUUGUCCGUUCGGCGGUCUGUAGGCGUGCCCGAACCUGACCAAACAGGCGGGGCUCGGGGGCGUGACAGAUAAGAUAGUAUCAGAGCAUAAAGUAGAGAAUGGAAAAAUAGUUUAGAUGACCUAGGAGACCCUAGGAUAGAGAAACCAUAGAGGCUAAGGCUCGUGAGAGACGAGGAUUUGAGACGUGUGGCGAAAGGAUUAUGGAUUGGGUUGUGUUAUUAACCUCUAAGACGGAUAUUAGAGGUAGACUUGAGGUAUGCUCUAUUCUCAACCAAGGGAGUUCAUGUUGGCGCGUGACAACAUGAAACCGAGCGAUGAGAAUAGACACCCUCGCAUGACUUUCGCCUGAUUGACUUUUGAGUUGUGUUAAUGGUUUCGUGUUUGACCCUGAGGGUCGAGAGCUAAUCGAGUUGUUCUGUUUCAGGAAGCGAUGGCACCGCGCAGGCGAUCUUCAUCCAGAUCGGCGUGAGGCGGGACAAGUGAUGUCCCUGAGCAAGUCGAGGCGAGCGGAGACCCGAUGCUCUGCGAGCAGCUGAAUACGCUCAUGGGCGUAGUGCAGCGCCAGGAGGAGCAGAUCAAGGAGCUCCAUGAGUUGUUGGCACGAUAGGCUGCGGCGGCUGCGCCGGUAGCAGUGCGCCGUGUACCGUCAGGAGCAACGGUAGAUUCGGGGGCUGUGGCCCCUGGUUCUAUGGAGAUGGAGGCGGAACGGAAACGAGCUGUGGCAGUGCUCAUGGCUUUCAAGAAAUUUAAGCCGCCUACCUUUGACGGAGAGUCGGUGGAUCCGUAGAUCGUGGAGAUGUGGAUUGACUCCAUGGAGACUCUCUUUGAGAGCUUGUAUACCUUGGAACGAAACAAGGUGAACCUAACCGCACAUUGCUUAGAGAAGUCGGCGAAGGUGUGGUGGAAAGGCGUCAAACGGGAUUGAACGCCUAGUCUCCCUCCUAUGACUUGGGAUGAGUUUCGGGGAUUGGUAUUCUCUGCAUAUUUUCCCGACAGUGAGAAAAGAAGGCUUCAAGAGAGAUUUAGGAAGCUGCGCCAGGGAGACCGUACUGUGAGGGAAUAUGAACAGAAAUUCACUCGUAUUGUGAAUUGUGUUCCAUAUGUGGUGCAGGAUGACAAGGACAAGGCGGAUUGCUUUGUACGGGGACUUCGGCCGGAAGUGUUCCAUUAUGUGCAUCCAUUCAAGUUGCAGACAUUUGCCGAGGUCGUGGACCGAGCCUUGUGGGUAGAGCAAGGCGAUGACUCCAUGCGAGAGGAGCGCGAGUUUGAUGAGCAAGAAGCUAAAGCAGUGCGACUGAGAGACCUUUCAGGUGGUCAAUCAAGUUCCAGGUGACCCUGAAUCAGUCACAGUCUCGAACCCUGAAGUUGUCUCCUAGCCGGUCUUCUUCGGGAUGUGUGAUUUGUGGUGGAUCCCAUAGGGCGCGGCGGUGUGCACUACGAGAGGGAAGAUGUUUUUAUUGUGGGCAAGCAGGCCACACGAAGUUUGAUUGUCCCAUGGACGAUGGACAACCCUCGCCGAUAGCGACGGCAUUCCCCUCAUCGGGACAACCCGUGGAUGUGCAACCUUUGGCACGAUCUGGAGAGCGAGGUGUGAGGAUUGGGCAGCCGGAGGGCGCACGGCGAGUGCCAAGUAGCCAGACAUACGCGACCCAAGUUGAGGAACCUGCUGCUGCUGGGGAUAUCAUCGCAGGUAUGAUUUAAUUGCGGCAAUUAUACACUUCUGCAUGAUAUAGAAUUGAAGCAUUGCAUGCAUUUACUUCAUAAUUGUCUACUACUACUUAUGCAUAAAUAUAGUAGAGACUGGGACAGGGGUUAGUGUAGCUACCCUAGCAUGCAUGAGUCGUGAUAGUGCGUCGCCUACCUAAAUGGAUAGGUGAUUGGUUAGUUGCCGAGCACGGGCACGUGGACCUAGUGGCACCUCUAAACGAGGUGGGUAAGUCGUGCUCGUGUAGUCGGUGUGCAUAGGCAGGGUUGCCUAAUGCUGAGCUUAGUAUACGGCAUGUAGAGCGCUUGAGCGUGGGUACUAAUAGAGUACGAUUGUGACCCAACCCAGGAAUCUGUAAUGGUUUGGGAUCUUAGUUACUCCUGGUUGGAGUGUGUGCGAGUUCCCAAGUGAGAAUUUCGCCCGAUAGUAAUUGGGUCUACGAUAGUGAGCGAGACACACUAUGCGUUGUUCAGACAGGUGUAGGCGAUAGACCUAUGUAGGAUUGGUGGUCCUUGGUCCACCUAUGAAAACCGAUGAUCGAUGCGGCCGGCAACUCUUGUUAGUGAGUUGGGCUUGGAUUCACGAAUGGAGGAUUCGUGUGUUGUGAACGUGGCUUAUAGUAUCAAAGGAUAGAGGAAGGUAAAGUGGUCUCUAGGAGACACUUGAGUAAUGAAUAGCCGUGUUAGGAUUGGAGUUGAUGCUCCCCAAUGAAUUGGAGGUCGAGGAUAAUGCUCUUUUGUGGAUUGAGUUGGAGAUGUGCCGGAGUGGGCCAUCUCGUGAUAGAGCAAAGAUCUAGUUGAGAGUUGGAGCACUCGCGAUUGGUCGAGGCACCUAUGGAUUGCUUUUAAGCAAUGUCGGUGAUCGAAUUGGGAGGCAUUCCCUGAAUGGAAGGCCAGUGCAAAGAAGAGUUCUUUGCGUACCGAAUGGCGAGUGGUGUUGGAGCGCGUAAAGUCGUUGAGUACCGACUUGUGCAGCCACUAUGACUUGCAAGACCGUGAUGCACUCCUGCAUCACACUUUGCAAAUGAGUUUAAUAUUAAACCCGUGUCCUUUAGAAUGAGCCGCUUCUAGAAAUACGAUGGUGUGGAGCCGUUCUGGAGUGGAAGAAUGAGUUGGUACCCUCAAUUGCUCGUGAAGCUGAAUUGAGGUGUGGUUUGAAUUUCGCGGACGAAAUUCUUUUUAAGGGGUGGAGAAUGUAACAUACCAGAUUUUAGUAUAAAAAUAAAAAUAAAUAAAAAUAGUGUGAGAAGCUAUUUUUAUUGGAUUUAGAGAAGUAAAAUAUAAGUCAGAAAUGACUUGUGCUGAAAUCGGAAUGAAAACAGAAGAUUUAGAAUUUUCUGUUGGAAACGGGACCGAUAAAUUAGCAGAAAAUGCACAGUCUCAGAAAAUUAUGAAAAUUGGAGGAUAAGUCAGAAAUGUUUUUAUGAAGCUAGAUUUAAGGUUUCAUAUUUUUCUGACACCUGUAGAGUGAGAAAUAAAAUCCGACAGUUAUCUGAUAAAGAUUAUAGUUUGGUACAGUUUUCAGUGACCAAACGGGGUCAAAACUGAAAACUUAAGAUAUAUUCUUACUCAGUACGUUAAACCGAGCCUGCCUGUCAAAUUUGAGCUCAAACGGACAUUCAGAAGGGCUCCAACUGUUCCGAUCUGCUAAACUGCCUAGAGUGAAUAGUGUAAUUGUUGGGGGGCUAUAUUGUAAAAGAGCAUUGCUCUUCUUCCACCCUCAGCUGUGCAACCCCCACACACCCGCACGCCACACACGCACACACGCAAGGAGAGGAGAAAGAGAACCCUCCCUUAUCUCUCUCUAAAUUCUCUCCCAAAAGAGAGGGUUUUGGUGGAGAAGGAAGCUUGGAGGAAAGUCAUUUUCUUCAUCUUCCUCUUUAGCCAUUGGAGAGCAAGCUUUAAAGGCAAGCUUCAAAACCCUUUAAUGGCAUUUCUCUCUAGUUUGGUUUUUAAGCUCUAAGAAUGGGUUUAGAGGUAUUCUAGCAUGUUAAUUAGAGGUUUGAUGCUUGAAACCAAGACUCUAAUGGUGGGUUUUUUCCUAGAAGUAAACCUAAGGUUCGAAAUGCAAUUUUUGGAAAUAUGAUGGUUUGAUCUAAAUUGAACCUAUAUAAACCUAAUUGCUAGGUAACGAAUGCGCCGGCGAAGUCGGUUCGGCGAUUCGUCGAGCCGGUGCGAAGUUAUUAAAGAAACGGACGUUUAGGCUUCAUUUCCGCCUGGAGGGCCGAGGCGACAUCGUAAACUCAUGAAACGGAUUUGAAGCAUCGUGGCACAUAACCGAAGACCUUUAAUUUUCGGAUCGUGAAUUGGAGGCCGUUUGGGUGGUCGCGCGUGAGAUCGGGCCAAACCGAGUGCUGGGUGCUGCGGGCGGCCCGAUUGCAAGUGUCGACAAGCAAUCGGAAAGCAUUUUGAGGUGGGUUGUGUUUACCGAAGUGACUAGGUCACCUUCAUGUCAAAGUGAAACAUGAGAUUCAUAUAGAUGCAUAUUAUUAUGUAUGCUAAUUGAUAGUGCAUGAUGAUGCAUUGAAGUGCAUGCUAGUUGAUAAUGAAAAAUUGAUAUGUUGAAGUAUGUGCUAGAUGAUAUUGCAUAUGAACACAUGAUGACAUGAUAUAGAGAACAUGAACAUACAAAUGAAUGUUAACGCUUUGUUAAUCAUGUGAGUUAUGAGAUCAUGUUGGAUAAUGCUUAGUGACAUAAUGAGAAAUUGUUAAUUAUACAUACACGUUAGCAUUAUGUAAAUGUAUGCUAGUUGGUAGAACACAUACUAGUGAUAAUUGCAUAAUAAUGCAUUGGAAAGUACAUGCUAGAAACUAGAUGCAAGCGAGAUAUAUAUGUGCAUUGGAAUGUAUGCUAGGUGCAUGUAGCAUUAUGUGAGCCGGUUGGAUAAAAUGCAUAAGUGCAUCAUGUGAAUACAUGUUAAAUGGUAUGGCAUAUUAACACUAUGAAAAAUAUAUGCUAGAGGAAAAUGUUUAGUGACGUACUAAGAAUAUGUAGCUAUAACUCGAUGUGGACAAUUAGGUGUCAACUAGAUCGAGUGGCAUUAACUUAGUGUAUUAAACAUAGGUCAAAUGUGAACCUAGGGUCGAGAACCUAGGAGGAGCAAGAAUGGCAUUUAACCUAGUGUCGUGAACCUAGGCUAGAUCGAGUGGCAUUAACCUAGUGUCAUGAACAUAGGUUGACAUUGAUCCUAGUGUUGUUGAAGCUAG